CACCUGGGUGCAGGCGGGCUGAGUCCAAAAAGAGAGUCAGCGAAGGGAGAUAAGGGUGGGGCCGUUUUAUAGGAUUUGGGUAGGUAAAGGAAAAUUACAGUCAAAGGGGGUUUGUUCUUUGGUGGGUAGGAGUGGGGGUCGCAAGGUGCUCAGUGGGCAGGAGUGGGGGUCGCAAGGUGCUCAGUGGGGGUGCUUUUUGAGCCAGGAUGAGCCAGGAAAAGGACUUUCACAAGGUAAUGUCAUCAGUUAAGGCAAGGACCGGCCAUUUACACUUCUUUUGUGGUGGAAUGUCAUCAGUUAAGGUGGGACAGGGCAUAUUCACUUCUUUUGUGAUUCUUCAGUUACUUCAGGCCAUCUGGGCCUAUAUGUGCAAGUCACAGGGGAUGCGAUGGCUUGGCUUGGGCUCAGAGGCCUGACAUUCCUGCCUUCUUAUAUUAAUAAGAAAAAUAAAACAAAAUAGUGUUGAAGUGUUGGGGCGGCAAAAAUUUUUGGGGGUGAUAUGGAGAGAGAAUGGGCGAUGUUUCUCAGGGCUGCUUCAAGCGGGAUUAGGGUCGGCGUGGGAACCUUCCACUGUGAGAGUUACCCGAAGCUCGGCGUCCGUGAUGGUCAGGGGGCUUCCGAGGCGAUCGGGCAGUGUCAGUCUUCAGCCGCUAAGCCGAGAAGAUCUGGGAAGGAGUCAGUCAGAGAGCCUUGGGCCAGAGUUCCAGGGCCUCUGGGAGUGGCUGCCAGUUGCUGGAGAGCCAGUGGCAUUGCAUCUUAUGCAGAGGACAGGUCCUUAAGGGCACAAUCGCUUAAGAGUCAAAAUGGCCUUGAAAAUUCCUUGGGAAGCCGUCAUGUUGGAGCCAACCACUAUUUCUCAAUAAAUUCAGCACAGCCAGUUUUUCCUCCUGCGUUGGGACGGAUCGCUGUUUCUCCUGUCAAGCUCCAGAUACAGUAAAGUCUUGUGUUUAAGGGCCACACAGUGGAGUGGGACACUCACAGGCAGAGGGAGGAACCAGGUGCUCCUACUCAGAGACACGUGGGACCCAAUGGGAGGGUUUGGCUUGGAGCAGACACCUUCAAAGUGAGUGGUGUGGGGAUUUCCCCAUCAUAUAAUGUCCCUUUGGGGUGUGAGGGGCAAAUGUGUUUAGUUAAGUGGAUCUUAACUCAGUUAAAUUAAAUUCAUGUAUGAUGUGAGACCA
Molecule: long non-coding RNA, 1181 nt
Organism: Pan troglodytes (chimpanzee)
Lineage: Eukaryota; Metazoa; Chordata; Mammalia; Primates; Hominidae
Exons: 2
Source: RefSeq, a predicted model, not a curated record